CGUAAUCACUUGUCUUUUAAAUAAAGACUAGUAUGAAUGGCAUCACGAGAGUUCAACUGUCUCCCGCACCCAAUCAGUGAAACUGAUCUCCCCGUGCAGAAGCGGGGAUAAAACCAUAAGACGAGAAGACCCCAUGGAGCUUUAAACUAAAGGCACUAGCCCCUAAUUCACCCCUUAGGGUAAAACAUUUUAACCGGCUAAAGUGACCUGUCGUUUUCGGUUGGGGCGACCACGGAGAAAAACAAAUCCUCCGAGAUGAAAGGGACAACCCUUAGCCAAGACCAACAAUUCUAAGCAAUAGAACGUCUAACACACUGAUCCAAUCAGAUUGAUCAACGAACCAAGUUACCCUGGGGAUAACAGCGCAAUCUAUUUUCAGAGUUCAUAUCGACAAAUAGGUUUACGACCUCGAUGUUGGAUCAGGGCCCCCUAGCGGUG
RNAcentral lists this ribosomal RNA (438 nucleotides) under Bombina pachypus (Appenine yellow-bellied toad). RNAcentral describes it as "partial 16S ribosomal RNA". It matches the Rfam family "Bacterial large subunit ribosomal RNA", at positions 1960 to 2555 of the family's 2925-position model. Lineage: Eukaryota; Metazoa; Chordata; Amphibia; Anura; Bombinatoridae. The record is from RNAcentral.